AUUGAACGCUGGCGGUAUGCUUAACACAUGCAAGUCGAACGGUAACAGGCCUUCGGGCGCUGACGAGUGGCGAACGGGUGAGUAACGCGUAGGUGAUCUACCUUCAAGUGGGGGACAACCCAGGGAAACUUGGGCUAAUACCGCAUGUGUCCGUAAGGAUAAAGCCGGCCUCUGAAAAUGCUGGUGCUUGGAGCUGAGCCUGCGUCUGAUUAGCUAGUUGGUGGGUAACGGCCUACCUAGGCGAUGAUAAGUAGGCGGCUUUAACGAGUGGUCGCCCACACUGGGAUUGAGAUACGGCCCAGACUCCUACGGGAGGCA
This 318-nucleotide ribosomal RNA is filed under the name uncultured Spirochaetota bacterium. Its description in RNAcentral is "bacterial SSU rRNA". It matches the Rfam family "Bacterial small subunit ribosomal RNA", at positions 30 to 350 of the family's 1533-position model. The record is from RNAcentral. Lineage: Bacteria; Pseudomonadati; Spirochaetota.